UACGUAGGGGGCUAGCGUUGUCCGGAAUCAUUGGGCGUAAAGAGCGUGUAGGCGGUCCGGUAAGUCCGCUGUGAAAGUCGGGGCUCAACCCUCGAAUGCCGGUGGAUACUGUCGGGCUAGAGUGCGGAAGAGGCGAGUGGAAUUCCUGGUGUAGCGGUGAAAUGCGCAGAUAUCAGGAGGAACACCUAUUGCGAAGGCAGCUCGCUGGGACGUUACUGACGCUGAGACGCGAAAGCGUGGGGAGCAAACAGG
Molecule: ribosomal RNA, 252 nt
Filed under: uncultured bacterium
Lineage: Bacteria
Description: partial 16S ribosomal RNA
Rfam family: Bacterial small subunit ribosomal RNA
Source: RNAcentral